This is a non-coding RNA of Nippostrongylus brasiliensis, 72 nucleotides long. NCBI's taxonomy places the organism in Eukaryota, Metazoa, Nematoda, Chromadorea, Rhabditida, Heligmosomidae. The record is from Rfam.
GUCUCAGUAGCAUAGUGCUUAGUGCACAGCCCUGGAUACGUUGAGACGCGUGUUCAAAUCUCUCCUGAGAUG